This 467-nucleotide ribosomal RNA is filed under the name uncultured bacterium. RNAcentral describes it as "partial 16S ribosomal RNA". It matches the Rfam family "Bacterial small subunit ribosomal RNA", at positions 28 to 507 of the family's 1533-position model. The record is from RNAcentral.
GACGAGCGCUGGCGGCGUGCUUAACACAUGCAAGUCGAACGGAAAGGCCUCAGCUUGCUGGGGUACUCGAGUGGCGAACGGGUGAGUAACACGUGGGUGAUCUGCCUUGCACUCUGGGAUAAGCUUGGGAAACUGGGUCUAAUACCGGAUAUGAACUGCCUUUAGUGUGGUGGUUGGAAAGUUUUUUCGGUGCAAGAUGAGCUCGCGGCCUAUCAGCUUGUUGGUGGGGUAAUGGCCUACCAAGGCGUCGACGGGUAGCCGGCCUGAGAGGGUGUACGGCCACAUUGGGACUGAGAUACGGCCCAGACUCCUACGGGAGGCAGCAGUGGGGAAUAUUGCACAAUGGGCGGAAGCCUGAUGCAGCGACGCCGCGUGGGGGAUGACGGCCUUCGGGUUGUAAACUCCUUUCGACAGGGACGAAGCUUUUUGUGACGGUACCUGUAUAAGAAGCACCGGCUAACUACGUG